UCGAACGGUAACAGGGAUUAGCUUGCUAAUUUGCUGACGAGUGGCGGACGGGUGAGUAAUGCUUGGGAAUCUGGCUCAUGGAGGGGGAUAACUACGGGAAACUGUAGCUAAUACCGCGUAAUAUCUUAGGAUUAAAGUGUGGGACCGCAAGGCCACAUGCCAUGAGAUGAGCCCAAGUGGGAUUAGGUAGUUGGUGGGGUAAAGGCCUACCAAGCCGACGAUCUCUAGCUGGUCUGAGAGGAUGAUCAGCCACACUGGAACUGAGACACGGUCCAGACUCCUACGGGAGGCAGCAGUGGGGAAUAUUGCACAAUGGGGGGGACCCUGAUGCAGCCAUGCCGCGUGAAUGAAGAAGGCCUUCGGGUUGUAAAGUUCUUUCGGUAGCGAGGAAGGUAUCAAAUUUAAUAGAUUUGGUAAUUGACGUUAACUACAGAA
RNAcentral lists this ribosomal RNA (435 nucleotides) under Actinobacillus ureae. RNAcentral's name for it is "bacterial SSU rRNA". It matches the Rfam family "Bacterial small subunit ribosomal RNA", at positions 62 to 486 of the family's 1533-position model. The record is from RNAcentral. Lineage: Bacteria; Pseudomonadati; Pseudomonadota; Gammaproteobacteria; Pasteurellales; Pasteurellaceae.